UGGGGAAUUUUGGACAAUGGGCGAAAGCCUGAUCCAGCAAUGCCGCGUGUGUGAAGAAGGCCUUCGGGUUGUAAAGCACUUUUGUCCGGAAAGAAAUGGCUCUGGUUUAUACCUGGGGUCGAUGACGGUACCGGAAGAAUAAGGACCGGCUAACUACGUGCCAGCAGCCGCGGUAAUACGUAGGGUCCAAGCGUUAAUCGGAAUUACUGGGCGUAAAGCGUGCGCAGGCGGUUGUGCAAGACCGAUGUGAAAUCCCCGAGCGUAACUUGAGAGUUGCAUUGGUGACUGCACGGCUAGAGUGUGUCAGAGGGGGGUAGAAUUCCACGUGUAGCAGUGAAAUGCGUAGAGAUGUGGAGGAAUACCGAUGGCGAAGGCAGCCCCCUGGGAUAACACUGACGCUCAUGCACGAAAGCGUGGGGAGCAAACAGG
RNAcentral lists this ribosomal RNA (429 nucleotides) under Bacillota bacterium. RNAcentral describes it as "Firmicutes bacterium partial 16S ribosomal RNA". It matches the Rfam family "Bacterial small subunit ribosomal RNA", at positions 355 to 776 of the family's 1533-position model. The record is from RNAcentral. Lineage: Bacteria; Bacillati; Bacillota.